This 411-nucleotide long non-coding RNA is filed under the name Rattus norvegicus (Norway rat). RNAcentral describes it as "long non-coding RNA NONRATT018265". The record is from RNAcentral. Lineage: Eukaryota; Metazoa; Chordata; Mammalia; Rodentia; Muridae.
GUUUUUAAGACGUUCUUUUAGGCUCAGUUCUGCACCAGAAGCUUUUCCUGACCUGAGGAAGAAGUUUUCUCUGGAGUGGAGGACUGAAGAACCACAGAAGAUCUGCAAGGCCAGUGACCAGUGAGUGCACAAGCCAGCUGGUUCUGAGCCAGGAAGAGCCCACACUACACGUUUCCCUUUCUCUUGCAGUGGAUUUAUUCCAUGCUAUGGGUCUCUGUCACACAAGGACGUUGUGAGAGUGAGCAGGCCAUUGCCCUGGUCCUCAAGUCAUGCACUGGAGUCGUAAAGAAAGAGGGAUAGAGAAGGAAUGUGUUUAGCUAUGUCAUUAAAAAUCUCGAGGGCAAGGGAAGGUGGCUCUGUUAUUGAUUUAAACAUCUAACUGAUACUUAAAUUCUAUAAAUGAGGGAAAGU